Brassica napus (rape) is the source of this 1435-nucleotide long non-coding RNA. RefSeq lists it as uncharacterized. The transcript is spliced from 2 exons. Lineage: Eukaryota; Viridiplantae; Streptophyta; Magnoliopsida; Brassicales; Brassicaceae. The record is from RefSeq and is a predicted model, not a curated record.
GCCUGCACAAGAGGAACCGUUCAUAAUCAUAAAACGAUUUGUUGACAACACUGAACAAAAACAGAACACAAACAGGUCUUCCGGUCCUAUCAAAAUUGUGCACAAAACAGAACCUAUCGACCAACCUGCAAGACACAGUUACAGUAACAUGAUUACUCACAUCACGAGAAAAGCAAUCAUCAGAAAAAAAAAGAAGAACAAAACCUGAGGAAGAGAAGAGAAGAGAGAACCUAGGCUUUCUUGUUAUACACGUGUAGCUAGGUAUUGGUUUUGUGAUAUUGAGAGGAGAAGAAAAGUUGAAGUCGACGAAGAACUCGGUGCUCUCCUCCCAUAUCCGCCUUACCGAAAAAUUGAAUCCUCUGCUCUAGAGCAUCUCCACCGCCGGGUCCCGCCCUCGGGUUGCGAUUGUCAAGGCUUCGACUGUGGAUUCGGAUUACUCGGCGAGAAGGAGCAGCAGCAACGAGCAGAGGGAGACGAUAAUGCUUCCAGGAUGCGACUAUAAUCAUUGGCUGAUUGUAAUGGAGUUUCCCAAGGAUCCAGCGCCAACGAGGGAGCAGAUGAUUCAUACUUAUCUCAACACUCUUGCUACUGUUCUUGGAAGGUGACGGGAGCACCAAUUCGUGGAAUUGAUAUUCCACCACUCCCAGUGAGUUCGCUGGAAGAAGGAACUCUAACCCAACCUUUAGUGAGACCACCAGCUGUUACAGGACCAGUUGUUGAAGGACGUAAAGUGGAGAUCUUGAAAAGCAUUUGUAUAUGGAGGUCUGAUAGAAGCCAUCACAAGCCUCGGUGUUAAUUAUCUCAUCUGCCGCUGGUUCUGGUUCUGGUGCUUCAACAUGUAAGUACAUCCUUCAACCUUUGCAUUCACUCCCAUUAUGAAACACAACACACAAAAAACGUUAAGUCACUCACAUUGUGAAUGAUGAGAAUAAGCCCGCCAAACAGGUUUGCAAGUCCCAAUACCAAAAUGUUCACUGCAACCAAAAACAUCGAGAUGGACACUAAACCUCCGAUCUGCGUUGAGUCAACCUACUGGUAGAUCGUUACGUCCGAUGGUAGAAAGACUUUCGUAGGGACUGGUCGUAACUCGUAAGCCAGAACCUGGAGAAGAUUCCAAGUGGAGUUUCUUCCAGAUCAAGAAAGGUGGAGAUAGGCUACAAGAUUGCAGUUUGUGCUAUCACAAACUAUUGCUUCAAUGUAGGGAUAUAUAUGGACGACGAUGGUGUUCGGCGUUUGGCUUUAAAUUCUUCGCCAUUCCCGGUUCGGUUCGUGAAAGCUACAGGGACAGAGACUUCCUCCAAGACUAUGUCUAUUAUCUGAAAGAAAUUAAAGACUACAGAAUUAAGAGGAAAGAGUUAUAACUUACAACCAAUAAUAUAACUCUAUCUGUAUGUGCUGUUUUCUUUGUUCAUCGAUCAUUAAACCAUCUUUCCUU